This 253-nucleotide ribosomal RNA is filed under the name uncultured bacterium. Its description in RNAcentral is "partial 16S ribosomal RNA". It matches the Rfam family "Bacterial small subunit ribosomal RNA", at positions 524 to 776 of the family's 1533-position model. The record is from RNAcentral.
UACAGAGGGUGCAAGCGUUAAUCGGAAUUACUGGGCGUAAAGAGUGUGUAGGCGGUGCUCUAAGUUCGGUGUGAAAUCUCCCGGCUUAACUGGGAGGGUGCGCCGGAAACUGGAGUGCUCGAGCGUGGGAGAGGAAAGCGGAAUUCCUGGUGUAGCGGUGAAAUGCGUAGAUAUCAGGAGGAACACCUGCGGUGUAGACGGCUUUCUGGACCAUUGCUGACGCUGAGACACGAAAGCGUGGGUAGCAAACAGG